Molecule: ribosomal RNA, 139 nt
Filed under: uncultured bacterium
Lineage: Bacteria
Description: partial 16S ribosomal RNA
Source: RNAcentral
CACGUAGUUAGCCGAUGCUUAUUCUUCAGGUACACGUCAUUUUAUCCCUCCCUGAAAAAAGAGGUUUACAACCCAUAGGCCGUCAUCCCUCACGCGGCAUGGCUGGAUCAGGCUUUCGCCCAUUGUCCAAUAUUCCCCA